CACGUAGGGCGCGAGCGUGUCCGGAAUUAUUGGGCGUAAAGAGCUCGUAGGCGGUUUGUCGCGUCUGCUGUGAAAACUGGGGGGCUCAACCCCCCAGCCUGCAGUGGGUACGGGCAGACUAGAGUGCGGUAGGGGAGAUUGGAAUUCCUGGUGUAGCGGUGGAAUGCGCAGAUAUCAGGAGGAACACCGGUGGCGAAGGCGGGUCUCUGGGCCGAUACUGACGCUGAGGAGCGAAAGCGUGGGGAGCGAACAGG
RNAcentral lists this ribosomal RNA (254 nucleotides) under uncultured bacterium. RNAcentral describes it as "partial 16S ribosomal RNA". It matches the Rfam family "Bacterial small subunit ribosomal RNA", at positions 524 to 776 of the family's 1533-position model. The record is from RNAcentral.